GCUUGUUGGUGGGGUAAUGGCCUACCAAGGCGACGACGGGUAGCCGGCCUGAGAGGGUGACCGGCCACACUGGGACUGAGACACGGCCCAGACUCCUACGGGAGGCAGCAGUGGGGAAUAUUGCACAAUGGGCGAAAGCCUGAUGCAGCGACGCCGCGUGAGGGAUGACGGCCUUCGGGUUGUAAACCUCUUUCAGCAGGGAAGAAGCGAAAGUGACGGUACCUGCAGAAGAAGCACCGGCUAACUACGUGCCAGCAGCCGCGGUAAUACGUAGGGUGCGAGCGUUGUCCGGAAUUAUUGGGCGUAAAGAGCUCGUAGGCGGUUUGUCGCGUCGAUUGUGAAAGCCCGGGGCUUAACCCUGGGUCUGCAGUCGAUACGGGCAGGCUAGAGUUCGGCAGGGGAGACUGGAAUUCCUGGUGUAGCGGUGAAAUGCGCAGAUAUCAGGAGGAACACCGGUGGCGAAGGCGGGUCUCUGGGCCGAUACUGACGCUGAGGAGCGAAAGCGUGGGGAGCGAACAGGAUUAGAUACCCUGGUAGUCCACGCCGUAAACGGUGGGCACUAGGUGUGGGCAACAUUCCAUCG
RNAcentral lists this ribosomal RNA (583 nucleotides) under Streptomyces harbinensis. Its description in RNAcentral is "bacterial SSU rRNA". It matches the Rfam family "Bacterial small subunit ribosomal RNA", at positions 244 to 839 of the family's 1533-position model. The record is from RNAcentral. Lineage: Bacteria; Bacillati; Actinomycetota; Actinomycetes; Kitasatosporales; Streptomycetaceae.